GACGAACGCUGGCGGCGUGCUUAACACAUGCAAGUCUACGAGAACGAGGUAGCAAUAUCUUUAGUAAAGUGGCGUACGGGUGCGUAACACGUAAGCAAUCUACCUUUGGGUCUGGAAUAACUUCGAGAAAUCGAGGCUAAUACCGGAUAAUGCAGCGGCACCGCAUGGUGAUGUUGUUAAAGUUUAUGUAAUGCCUAUAGAUGAGCUUGCGUCUGAUUAGCUAGUUGGUGAGGUAACGGCCCACCAAGGCUACGAUCAGUAGCUGGUCUGAGAGGAUGAUCAGCCACACUGGAACUGAGACACGGUCCAGACUCCUACGGGAGGCAGCAGUGAGGAAUAUUGGGCAAUGCCCGCAAGGGUGACCCAGCAACGCCGCGUGGAGGAUGAAGGUCGUAAGAUCGUAAACUCCUGUUAGAGGGGAAGAACACCACCGAUUGGAUCGGUGUUUGACUGUACCCUCAGAGAAAGCCCCGGCUAACUACGUG
This 485-nucleotide ribosomal RNA is filed under the name uncultured organism. Its description in RNAcentral is "bacterial SSU rRNA". It matches the Rfam family "Bacterial small subunit ribosomal RNA", at positions 28 to 507 of the family's 1533-position model. The record is from RNAcentral.